AAUGAACGCUGGCGGCAGGCCUAACACAUGCAAGUCGAACGGAUCCUUCGGGAUUAGUGGCGGACGGGUGAGUAACGCGUGGGAACAUACCCUUUGGUACGGAAUAGCCUCGGGAAACUGGGAGUAAUACCGUAUGUGGUCGAGAGACGAAAGAUUUAUCGCCAAAGGAUUGGCCCGCGUUGGAUUAGGUAGUUGGUGGGGUAAUGGCCUACCAAGCCGACGAUCCAUGGCUGGUUUGAGAGGAUGAUCAGCCACACUGGGACUGAGACACGGCCCAGACUCCUACUGGAGGCAGCAGUCGGGAAUCUUAGACGAUGGGGGAAACCCUGAUCGAGCCAUGCCGCGUGAUCGAUGAAGGCCUUAGGGUUGUAAAGAUCUUUCAGGUGGGAAGAUAAUGACUGUACCACCAGAAGAAGCCCCGGCUAACUCCGUGCCAGCCGCCGCCGUAA
Molecule: ribosomal RNA, 449 nt
Filed under: uncultured bacterium
Lineage: Bacteria
Description: partial 16S ribosomal RNA
Rfam family: Bacterial small subunit ribosomal RNA
Source: RNAcentral